GACGCGGGCGGAGCUGGCCAGGCAGUAGCUGAUAUAAGACAAGGGCCAAGUAGUCCACAGGGUGCUGCCUCCCCUCCCACAACAGACCGGAGCAGCAUUCUAAAUCCUGGAGAAAACAUGAGAAAAUUGAUAAUUGGAACGCUGCUUCCUUGGCCCUUGGGAGAGGAACUGGAUGAUGUAACAGGGCUGACCAGUUCUGGCUUUUAUGAGUCUGAGAUUACUCCAUCAAUUGCAGCCUAAAGACUCGGACCCAACAGUACACAGAAGAUGAGUGAUCAGAGAGCGCAUCUCUACAG
Molecule: long non-coding RNA, 296 nt
Organism: Chelonia mydas (Green sea turtle)
Lineage: Eukaryota; Metazoa; Chordata; Testudines; Cheloniidae
Exons: 3
Source: RefSeq, a predicted model, not a curated record